CCAGUGAUCAUAUUUUUAAUUAUAAAUCUUCAUCAAGUUAAUAACAGAGAAGAGCCAGAGCCUGGGCAGUCAAAGACCGGAAUGUACUGUGGCAAUGUCCUCUGAGGAUGGGGUGCCAUUCCCCUGCGAACACGGAGCCUCUGCGCACCCUGCAGGGCCACUUUCCCAUGGAUAAUUGACGGCCGGGUCAAAGUCCAACCACGCAGACAAACAGGUCUCCCUCUCACCCGCCUGGGUCAGAAUAGCCUAUUAUGUCACUGAGAACCACAGGCCAGUGCUGGAGCGAUGUUGAUCCACCAGCAGUGACCUCAUCUCCUCGGGUUACAAUUUCAGGGUGG
Molecule: long non-coding RNA, 338 nt
Filed under: Bos taurus (domestic cattle)
Lineage: Eukaryota; Metazoa; Chordata; Mammalia; Artiodactyla; Bovidae
Description: long non-coding RNA NONBTAT012102
Source: RNAcentral